Molecule: ribosomal RNA, 450 nt
Filed under: uncultured bacterium
Lineage: Bacteria
Description: partial 16S ribosomal RNA
Rfam family: Bacterial small subunit ribosomal RNA
Source: RNAcentral
GUGGGGAAUCUUCCGCAAUGGACGAAAGUCUGACGGAGCAACGCCGCGUGAGUGAUGAAGGUCUUCGGAUUGUAAAGCUCUGUUAAUCGGGACGAAAGAGCCUAGUGUGAAUAAUGCUAGGAAGUGACGGUACCGGAAUAGAAAGCCACGGCUAACUACGUGCCAGCAGCCGCGAUAAUACGUAGGUGGCAAGCGUUGUCCGGAAUUAUUGGGCGUAAAGCGCGCGCAGGCGGAUCUGCCAGUCUGUCUUAAAAGUUCGGGGCUUAACCCCGUGAUGGGAUGGAAACUACAGAUCUAGAGUAUCGGAGAGGAAAGUGGAAUUCCUAGUGUAGCGGUGAAAUGCGUAGAUAUUAGGAAGAACACCAGUGGCGAAGGCGACUUUUUGGACGAAAACUGACGCUGAGGCGCGAAAGCCAGGGGAGCGAACGGGAUUAGAAACCCGGGUAGUCC